AAUAAAAAAUGCUUUUGGGGCUUUUUGAAAAAUAUACCCCAACUAUAAAAAUAGAUUGGGCAUUUUUUAAAGAAUAAAAAUGAAUCCUUUUUGAAGAAUAGAAUAAAACCCUUUUUAUAAAUAAAAUGAGACUAUAAUUUUGAAAUAAAACAAAGGAAAAAAUAAAGGAAAUCCAAGGGAUUGCCCCCACAUUUAAUAAAAGGAUUUUUAAAAGAAGACUAACUUUUUUAAAGGGGGUUAAAACUGAAACUUUAACGCGGCCACAAAAUAAAUAAAAGAGGAGAGAAGGGGAGUUCCUAUUGCAGCAAAGACACCGA
Molecule: long non-coding RNA, 317 nt
Filed under: Hordeum vulgare
Lineage: Eukaryota; Viridiplantae; Streptophyta; Magnoliopsida; Poales; Poaceae
Description: long non-coding RNA (HVUL_LNC000866)
Source: RNAcentral